CCUGUGAGCUACCUGAUGUUGCUGCUCAGUUCUGAGGAGGCGAGCUUACCUUUUGCCAGAUACUUGAGAUGUCUCAUUCCGCCUCACUUUAUCUCGCGAGAAGUGUGUUUACAGCACUUUGCCAUCAGCCGUUCGUGUCGCAGUGAACUCGGCCAUUGAGCCAGCAUGCACAAUGAGAAAAAGCAGCGAACAGAUACAAAAUGGGAUGGAGCCAUUACUGAUGUUCUCCUUCAGAAGCAGGCCUGCAUCAAGCCAAACUGUAAAUAGUCCUGCAGCCCAGAUCCAGACUGAGCCUGAAGCCACGUCAAAGCGACGUCUGUCUCUUCACCUAAGACGUCCACCCGCAGGGACCCCUGUCGGCUCUGUUUUUCCAACAGGAGGAGGAUCUUCCUUCUAAUUAAAUAAAUCCUGUGACGUUAAGAGCGCCGGAAAGUUCUUCUGACUCUUCGCUAUUUUUAAAAGAAUGUGGAAAGUUUGAUGCCAAAAUAAAAAUCAGAAACUUAUCCAUUGCAAAGCAAGAGGAUCCAGUCUGAAAUAAGAGUUUGAUUUUGUCAUGCAAGUAAGUUUCCUACUAUCCUUUAAAAACAACCGAAUUUCAUUUUAAUUUAGUUCAGUUUAGUUUUAUGGGAUGUCUUGUUUUGAAAUGAAACACCUCACAUCAUCAAGUCGAUAAUCUCAUUAAUACUGAUGCAAGAUCGCCCAUCAAUAUGAGGUCAGGAGGUUCAGGUAACCGCUUUAAUUCGCUUCUAAUUCAAAAAAGUGCCCCAAAUACCCAAUUUGUUGGCUUUAAAAAUCACCGUUACUUACUUUAGCAAUAUUCAACACACUACUAUUCAAUAAGACUAAACCUGUAACAUUUUUAUCAUUAUUUAUAAAAAGCACACACAGACAGAAGUAAUAUCUGUGGCUCGUAGCAUCGAGGGUGACCAGAAAUAAAUUCCCAGAAAAGGUUUAUGAGUUUGCAUAAGAUGAAAUAUUUCAACCACGUACGACCUCAAAAUACAUCAAACACUCACAUCACAAGUUGUCAGUACACACAUCAGUGUCACUAAAUCAUUUUUGCCAUAAAAGUGUCAUUUUGUCAAACUGAAGGAGGACUAAAAGCCGGUAAACAGGAGUGAAAGAAAGAUGCCUUCACUUUGGCUUCUCUUAUUCUCCUUUAUUAUUAUUGUCUUAGUAUUAUAAGAUAUCCCAAGACUCAAAUAAACCUUUAACAGAUUUAAGACAUUUAUUUGCCCUCAAACGCAUUCAUAUAACUUAUGAUACAAAAACAGACAGCAUCAGACUUAAAAUACCAGAAAUAAUCUUGGUCUGUAAGUGUACGGGGGAAGUUUAUAAAUUAUUAUAAAAAUCUGGUUUUAGUCUAUGCUCUUAAAAUACGUCUGUUGUAUUAUUUAUCCAGAUGGCAUAAUUUAGAUGAUUAAAUUAAAGGUAAAUGAUCCUCUCACACACGUAUAUCCUUCCUUAAAAUCUCUAAAACUCAAAGCAGCCGUGUGGUCGUGUCUAAUCCUCUGUAUUCUAUUCAUCUGUACUCUGUAUUGUCUGCGGCACAAGUUUAAAAAGUACGCAGUUCAGAUUAAAAUCUGACACUACGCAAAACAAAGUAGAAGUGUGUCAUUGUUUCAGAGUUUUCAGGGCCCCGGCAGGUUUUUCACAUCAGCCACAAUAACUCCGCGCUCUGGGGAUCCGAGUGGACGACUCAGGCUGUGCCACAGGCGCUCUGGGCCGCCCGAGAAAGGAAAUUAAUUCCUCUUUGGGAGAAAAUGACUUUAACAGAUAGCGUGGCGAAGGCAGGCUGUAACUUUGCUGCUGUCGCUCCCCCCCACACAGUCCCUCCAAAGCCUCCGAAGGCAGCGCAGCAGAGGAAAGGCACCUUAGGUGAGUGAGUGUCAAACUCUUCUACUGUUUACCUUACAAAUUAAGGCUAUUAGCAGGUUAGCCGGGCUGUAGGAGGAGAUGUAUGUGCUCAGGGCCCUGAGCAGGUAUUAAUUCACACGUGUUUCCAAUGUGACGGUGACGGGCGUGUUUUCAGUCAGCCCGAGUCUUCGCCCCUCGUGGGCUGUGAAGAAAAAUCUCCCACAGUGUGCGUAACUGUGUGUGUGUGAGACGUGACAUUUUACUUCCAGAUCAGGCUGAUGUUGAUAUCAGGUGUCACCCUGUCACAUUGUCCACUUCAGAUAUUACUGAGAUUCCACAUAACAUCCAGCCGUUAAACUUUAUUUUCUUUACACACUUGGCUCAUUUAAUUUUCCAUCCUUUCAUUUGGCGAGUCGUUUGUCUUCUCUGCCACCAGUGUUGGGCAUGUGGUGAACUACAUGGAAUUAAACCAGUAGUUUAACUACAUUCUCGUGCUUCAACUACAUUCAAAUGUGCUUCGUGAUUCGAGUAGCUCAGUUGCUUUAUUGCCAUUUUUUGUGUAAUCGCCGAAACUACAAACAAUUUUUGACCACGAGAGGAAAGUAAAACUAUGCCUGUAGGCCUUGAUUAGGUGUCAGGGACUCAUCAGUAUUGAUUAUUUAUUACCAAAUGUCCAGAGAAGUUGGCUGGCUGGGUGGUGUCACCUGAAGCAGGUGAUGAACUCAUACACACUUUCACAGCACUUUCAAAUGAAAGCAGCUGGUGUGUUUUAUUUGUUUUGGUUUAUGUGUGACCUGUGAACAAGUGGGCACUUAUUUGCUGGCAUGUGACAUAUUUAUAUCAUAUUUAGUCGUAAUUUCAAAUCACGUUCACUUUGUCAGUUUGAUUAUGUGUUUACACAGUAGUUUGAACUGCUAUUUCUAAGUAGCUUUAGUAAAUCGAACCAAAUCUUUCUGCAGGUAGUUUUGCUGUAGUUCAGCUUUUUCCACUGUGAACAACAAGUGGGGCUGCUAACCGCAGUGUAAUAUUAGUUUGGACUCAGUGAAGGCUUUUAGUGUCCCGUGACGGAGGAAAUGCUGUUUCAGAUGCCUUCCAGUCCCAAAUGUUCCCAUCCGGGCACACAAAUCAUCGAUGACCGAAUUCUGAAACUACCUGCAUGGGCCUCGUAAGGCUCACGUUGGUCACACCUUUACGUGAUGACACGUCAGAUGAAGAGAGGACUAAAGAGAGCUGAAGAGGUCAGAACGGCGACCUCCUGAUGAGGAUUCCUCCUCAGUCGAGAGCGAAGGUGGACCUGCUGCUCAGCCUGUGGCUGUCAGUCACGCAGGCAGGAAGGAUUACAUUAAAGACGGCUCAGUGCCACCGUCACCAAAACAAACAAGCCGCCGCCGCCGCGUCGCGCCUGCUCUCACAUAACGUCCGAGUUUCCUGCGUGUUUCGGGAGGGGGUUGCUUUUCAUUGGAAAGUCAACAGCCUUCACUGCAGGACAAAGUUUGUGCUUUUGCAGAGAUGCAACACAACAGCGAGAGACCCGAUCAAAACAUCACAGGAAAGCAGAGCAGCUUCGGCCUUCGUGCGGACAGAAAACAUGAAACUUUAUUUUAAAUGCCCGUAUUUUGCAUUUAACAAAUAACCAUUUAAUAAAUACUUUGUAACCAGAAUGUCUGUGAGCAGACUGCAGUGUCUCUUAAUGUUUUUGUCCUGUGCGGGCCGCCGUCAGCUGAGGCUUGUUGUAAACUGUACAAUAAAACACACUCGUUAUGGUCUCGUUUAUGUCCUCGCAGGGAAGUUGACGAAUUAACAAUAAUAAAACAAACAAAAAUAAUUAGUGUUCAAAAUACUUUAUCAAACAUUUAUGUGCUGCCUAUAAAUGCUAAAUUGAUGGCUUACAGUAAAGACUAAAAAUUUGGACAAAUUUUAUUUGAUAAACCAAUAGAAGCUUUAAAUGAUAAUCGUAACUGGAAAUGAUUCAGAUUCAGCUUUCAGCAUAAUCCUAAGACACAUAAUUACGACAGCAUGACAGCCUUUCAGAGUUGGAUGGACUUUGUGAUAAAAUCUGAAAUCUUUGUUCUGCACUCAGCUCCUUCGUGUGUUUUAAUGCUGAGUUACAGAAAGCUUUGAUGUUGCUCUCAGCUUCAGACUGUAAUAUAAGCGUUUAAAAGGACCCAGUGUGUGUGUGUGUGUGUAAUUAUUAUUAGACAUUUUUUUAUUUUCUGACUAAUAUGGAAACUUUUCAGAGUGUGUAACACUCAGUGAGCCUCUCCUGAUAUAUAAAGCAUGUAGCCAAACGCAGUAAGAUUAGAAUAAACGCGUUUUGUAAGAGCAGUUAAGCCAAUAUGACCUGAAUUAGACGUUUUAGUUAAAUAAAACCUGCAGCACUUAAAACUUUUGAAAGAUUUCUGACAUCAGGGAAAUUUUUUUGACUCUCUUCAGGUUUUAUUUUUUUUUUUUUACCUUUUGAAAAAUAUCUUCUCUUACAAAAUGACUGCUGGUGUAACAGGACGUCAUCUGAAGAUCAGAUGCCUACAAGUCAGGGUUGUGUUAAAAGACAAAAGUAUUUCUGCAGGAUGUUUUCAACCACAUGAGCAUAAAUAAUCGUCCCAUUAAGUUUUGAGUGAAUUUCACGAUUUGAACUAAAACACUUUUAAAAACCCUUUUCAUUCUGACUGUAUGGGCCUGCACAUCAGCUUCAGAGAUAAAUUAGAUGUUUCCUUGCUUUGAUCCGGCGCCUAAUCACAGAGCAGCGACGGGGACAGAGACGCUGAGACGAACAUCUGCGGCGGCGGGGAAACUGUCCUUUCCUUCGAGACUUCAGCCGCAGAUUUACAGCUGUUGUCGGGGAAUAAUGUCAGUGAUAUACGACGAAGUGAGACAGUAAAUGUUGUCUCCCUUUACAGCUCUGUCACAUGGAGAGACGAGCACUGAGAGCCGUCACAGCGAGCGCCAGUGUGAGGGGCGUAAAGGGAAAACGCUGACAGCUUCGAACGCGUCUGUUAUUUUUUUUACCUCGCUUCAUGGAGCCUGAGAUGGACAAAAACCAUUUGUGUGUUUAAUCUUCUUCUGUUUGACUCAGCUUUUGUCAGUGAUCAGAU
This is a long non-coding RNA of Scatophagus argus, 4949 nucleotides long. RefSeq lists it as uncharacterized. NCBI's taxonomy places the organism in Eukaryota, Metazoa, Chordata, Actinopteri, Scatophagidae. The record is from RefSeq and is a predicted model, not a curated record. The transcript has 4 exons.